AUGUCAAAAAUGAUAGAAAUUCUGAGUCCUAUGAAGGAUCAAAAUUGGGGAGCAGCGAUUCCUCGAGACAUCGAUUCUCGAUCUCAGCGGGCCGUCGCAAGGACGAGCUCAGAGCAGACGGGCGAAUGGGAGAGAGGACAAGCGAGCGUGGUCGGGCUCAAGUCCCUUGGAACUCUGCCGUCUUCAGUGGCCGAUAGCGGACUCGCGGAGAAUGUAAACGAUUCCCGUUUGAGGAAUUUGGUGUCUGACUAUGAUUACGACGAGGAAUCAGAGACAGAACCUGAUUCGCAAGAAAAUCACACCGAUUCGAAGCGCGCCAAAGUGACAACAGGCUUGACGGACCCUGAAGCGUCAGAGACCGAAGAGGCGGAGACCGGAAAGAAGGAGAUCGAAGGGAUGGAGACUGGAGAUGUGGAGACCGGAACGAGGGAGAUUGAACAGAAGGAGACCGAAGACAAGGAGAGCAAAGAGAAGGAGAGCGGCGAGAAGGAGAACGGAGAGAAGGAGACUGAAGGGAUGGAGACUGAAGAUGUGGAGACCGGAGAGAAGGAGACCGAAGCGACGGAGACCGAAGCGACGGAGACUGAACCGACGGAGACCGAAACAGGCUCCGAAGCAACGGAGUCCGAACCGGGAGAGACCAAACGGAGAGACGGACGACAGGAACGGAACGACUUCCUCGAUUUGGUCUAGGACCCGCUCGGCGACUAUGAUAUUCGCCCCGCUCAACGGUAUCAUUCUAGGGAUCUGCCUUUGGGCAUUCUGCUGCAACGAAGCCAAUGCAAUAAGAUGAUCGGAGCUCAACUCCAGUUCGUGUUCCUGGGCGUGGUGGCCUUCAUCGCUCUCGAAGGAAUCCUCCUCAUUCACGCGUCAUUUUCACGAGCAGCCCCAUCGAUGUCUUCAUUCUAUGUGGUCUCAGGAUAUGCAUUCACAUUCCUGCUCGCAGCAGCAGGGUUCGCGAAAGUCGGCGAUCAUUACGUACAAGCUGAGCAGCUGUGCAUUCUGGAUUUCGACAUAGGCUCGGGUUGGCUGUUGCUCGGCCCCGUGAUCCUCAUGGUCGCCGUCAAUAUCGGAGCCGUUCUCGUCAGUGAGCUGCGUAUCUCAUACCUCUACGAGAAUACUGCUCACUUCCCACCGCAUCUGAAGCGAAGGGCUCGUAUGAUACGAUCGCUCUGCGUAACAACAUCCCUCGUCGGUCUCCAGUGGACUUCUGCAUCUCUUAUCCAGAAGGCAGAAAGCGUCUUCUCGGUGCUCUUCUUGCUACUGAAUUUCAUCACGAGCAUUGCCAUACUAAUCAACCACGUCGCUUGCGACCGAGAAGUCCGCGCGAAUAUCGCCCGAGUUCUCGGGAGCCGCGGAAAAACUGCUCGGAAAUUGGCGAAUAUCGUGCGGCCGCCACCCCUGGAGAUCGAAGGUUUGAGCCAAAGAGUCAGCUACCACGCACCGCCGAAGAUCAGCGAUACUCUACGGUCGACCCUUGAUCGCGGUAUCCGACCCUCUAUCCAUCUGAUCACACCACUUGACCACAUCUCCGUCACCAAAUAG
Unclassified non-coding RNA from Galendromus occidentalis (western predatory mite), 1545 nucleotides. Lineage: Eukaryota; Metazoa; Arthropoda; Arachnida; Mesostigmata; Phytoseiidae. The record is from RefSeq and is a predicted model, not a curated record.